UACGAAGGGGGCUAGCGUUGUUCGGAAUUACUGGGCGUAAAGGGCGCGUAGGCUGUGCUGUAAGUCAGGCGUGAAAUCCCCGGGCUCAACCUGGGAAUUGCGUUUGAUACUGCGGCGCUGGAAUGCAGGAGAGGAUGGCGGAAUUCCCAGUGUAGAGGUGAAAUUCGUAGAUAUUGGGAAGAACACCGGUGGCGAAGGCGGCAUCUGGCCUGUAAUUGACGCUGAGGCGGCGAAAGCGUGGGGAGCAAACAGG
RNAcentral lists this ribosomal RNA (253 nucleotides) under uncultured bacterium. RNAcentral describes it as "partial 16S ribosomal RNA". It matches the Rfam family "Bacterial small subunit ribosomal RNA", at positions 524 to 776 of the family's 1533-position model. The record is from RNAcentral.